GACUACCUAUAUUAAAAGACAAGACUCCGAGAUGACAAUGGAAAACUGUUGUUGUGUUUAUAUCUUUUUGUUACCUAUUGCUCUGGGUGUGUUGAGCCAAGAAACUGUAACACAGACAAGUAAGAUCUGUGCAGUUGAGGGUGAAAAUGUAUAUUUCCAUUGCAAGCCAAGAUCAGGUGAUAAUUAUAUCUAUUGGUACAAACAGGCACCUAUGCAAGCACCGUAUCUUGUUAUAGAUACGUAUUACAAUUCAAAGUCUGAGGAUCGAUUUACUCUGACAAAAAACAACAGCAACUCCUGGAUAUUCAGCAUCAGGGAGGUGACACUGCACGAGACAGCCACACACUUCUGUGCAACAAGUGGCACCGUAGUAGAGGUGAAUGGAAUUGUAAAACAAAAACUUUGUCAUUCUCUGAUACCAAAAUACAUCAACACAAGAGAAAAGGUGAUUUACAGAACUUUGUUAUAUUAUUAUGUGUGUUUUUUUCUAAUUAAUCAACACAUUAAAUACGUUUUGGUGGAAGCAAGAUGACACCUAAAUGUGCUUUUGUCAUAGACAUCUGGUAAAAUACAUCAUUUAGUCAGACUGUGUUCUUGAACCCCAGAACUCUUGAAUUUUUUGUAAUGAAUGUAUUCUAGUUGUUUUACAUAUUGUAGUAACUGAUA
Non-coding RNA from Protopterus annectens (West African lungfish), 666 nucleotides. NCBI's taxonomy places the organism in Eukaryota, Metazoa, Chordata, Ceratodontiformes, Protopteridae. The record is from the annotation of a RefSeq genome assembly.